RNAcentral lists this ribosomal RNA (426 nucleotides) under uncultured bacterium. RNAcentral describes it as "bacterial SSU rRNA". It matches the Rfam family "Bacterial small subunit ribosomal RNA", at positions 506 to 930 of the family's 1533-position model. The record is from RNAcentral.
GGCCAGCAGCCGCGGUAAUACGUAGGGGGCGAGCGUUGUCCGAAUUCACUGGGCGUAAAGCGCGCGUAGGCGGGCUAUUAAGUUAGAGGUGAAAUCCCGGAGCUCAACUCCGGAACUGCCCCUAAAACUGGUAGCCUUGAGGUAUGGAGAGGGAAGUGGAAUUCCUGGUGUAGCGGUGAAAUGCGUAGAUAUCAGGAGGAACACCCGUGGCGAAGGCGGCUUCCUGGCCAUAUCCUGACGCUGAGGUGCGAAAGCUAGGGGAGCGAACGGGAUUAGAUACCCCGGUAGUCCUAGCCGUAAACGAUGGAUACUAGGUGUUAGAGGUAUCGACCCCUCUAGUGCCGAAGCUAACGCAUUAAGUAUCCCGCCUGGGGAGUACGGCCGCAAGGCUGAAACUCAAAGGAAUUGACGGGGGCCCGCACAAGC